ACUCGAGUGGCGAACGGGUGAGUAACGCGUGGGUGAUCUGCCCUGCACUUCGGGAUAAGCUUGGGAAACUGGGUCUAAUACCGGAUAGGAGCCAUCUUUAGUGUGGUGGUUGGAAAGUUUUUCGGUGUAGGAUGAGCUCGCGGCCUAUCAGCUUGUUGGUGGGGUAAUGGCCUACCAAGGCGGCGACGGGUAGCCGGCCUGAGAGGGUGUACGGCCACAUUGGGACUGAGAUACGGCCCAG
This 241-nucleotide ribosomal RNA is filed under the name uncultured Actinomycetales bacterium. Its description in RNAcentral is "partial 16S ribosomal RNA". It matches the Rfam family "Bacterial small subunit ribosomal RNA", at positions 89 to 334 of the family's 1533-position model. The record is from RNAcentral. Lineage: Bacteria; Bacillati; Actinomycetota; Actinomycetes; Actinomycetales.